Molecule: ribosomal RNA, 478 nt
Filed under: uncultured bacterium
Lineage: Bacteria
Description: partial 16S ribosomal RNA
Rfam family: Bacterial small subunit ribosomal RNA
Source: RNAcentral
GACGAACGCUGGCGGCGUGCUUAACACAUGCAAGUCGAACGGAAAGGCCCUUCGGGGUACUCGAGUGGCGAACGGGUGAGUAACACGUGGGUGAUCUGCCCUGCACUUUGGGAUAAGCCUGGGAAACUGGGUCUAAUACCGAAUAGGACUGCGCUCUUCAUGGGGUGUGGUGGAAAGCUUUUGCGGUGUGGGAUGGGCCCGCGGCCUAUCAGCUUGUUGGUGGGGUAAUGGCCUACCAAGGCGACGACGGGUAGCCGGCCUGAGAGGGUGACCGGCCACACUGGGACUGAGAUACGGCCCAGACUCCUACGGGAGGCAGCAGUGGGGAAUAUUGCACAAUGGGCGCAAGCCUGAUGCAGCGACGCCGCGUGAGGGAUGACGGCCUUCGGGUUGUAAACCUCUUUCAGUAGGGACGAAGCGCAAGUGACGGUACCUAUAGAAGAAGGACCGGCCAACUACGUGCCAGCCGCCGCAGUAA